RNAcentral lists this long non-coding RNA (856 nucleotides) under Physcomitrium patens. RNAcentral's name for it is "long non-coding RNA (PPAT_LNC013937)". The record is from RNAcentral. Lineage: Eukaryota; Viridiplantae; Streptophyta; Bryopsida; Funariales; Funariaceae.
AAUCCUAAGCAAAUCCUAAUCAAAUUCUAAAUCUUAAACAAAUUCUUAACAAAUCCUAUAACAGAUUGAAACCUGAAGAACUAAUGAUUGAACCAUUGAUAUCAAUUCAAAUUUUUUACACUUUUUAAUAGCUUAGUUAGAGACAAGCAUAAGAAAGAUGAAAUCAAUCGCACUUAUCAAUUGAGAGAAAUACAAGAUAAUCCAAUUGGAUAUUAGAUGACAUCCUCCUCUAAUCUAAAUGCUAAACUUCUAGUAUCAAUAUCUCCUUCUUAAACUAUUAAAUUGCUUUCAAAAUUCAUCCAAAUAUUGAAAAUCAAGUUUAGCAUCCAUACAAAAAAAAUUCACUUCAAUCAAAUUGACAGAUUGCUAAAGAUCUUAGAAAUACUUACUAAUCCUUAAACUCCAAUUUUGGACACUUCAAUCCACAAAAGUCCUCAUAUACUUCAAUCUAAUUAUUUGAUUGACUUCAAAAUUUUCAUAUACAUUUACAACUAGCAUACCAACACAUUGACCAAAUUGAACCCAUACAUACACCAUAGAACUCAAGAAACCUUCAAAUUUAUAAAUAUAUUUUUAUUUCUCAAAUCCUAUCUUGCCAAAAACAUCACUAACUUUAAAAAUCUCUCAAAAACUUAAUAUUAAUUUAAAUGACGUGAAAAAAAUGCUUAAAAAUAUUCCUUCAAGUGUGCUCUCAAAUCUUAUUCUUUGAUUCCUAAAAAAGCUCCUAAGUCACCAUAUAUGCAUGGUUUUGUGCCUUAGGGUCUAAUUUCAAUUUAGGUUGAUAACUAGUCUUUUUGAGAUAUCAAUUUUUGGUAAUUUUUGGUAAUUUUUAUUCUAACAUAUUUUUAACUCUCUC